GCUAAAAGCCGUCCCAGUUCGGAUUGCAGGCUGCAACCCGCCUGCAUGAAGUUGGAAUCGCUAGUAAUCGCGGAUCAGCAUGCCGCGGUGAAUACGUUCCCGGGCCUUGUACACACCGCCCGUCACACCAUGGGAGCCGGUAAUACCCGAAGUCAGUAGUCCAACCUCGUGAGGACGCUGCCGAAGGUAGGAUUGGCGACUGGGGUGAAGUCGUAACAAGGUAUC
This 225-nucleotide ribosomal RNA is filed under the name uncultured bacterium. RNAcentral describes it as "partial 16S ribosomal RNA". It matches the Rfam family "Bacterial small subunit ribosomal RNA", at positions 1275 to 1500 of the family's 1533-position model. The record is from RNAcentral.